This 401-nucleotide ribosomal RNA is filed under the name uncultured bacterium. RNAcentral's name for it is "bacterial SSU rRNA". It matches the Rfam family "Bacterial small subunit ribosomal RNA", at positions 975 to 1375 of the family's 1533-position model. The record is from RNAcentral.
CCAGACUUGACAUCCCUGGAACCCCGUAGAGAUAUGGGGGUGCUCGCAAGAGAGCCGGGAGACAGGUGCUGCAUGGCUGUCGUCAGCUCGUGUCGCGAGAUGUUGGGUUAGGUCCCGCAACGAGCGCAACCCUCGCCUUCAGUUGCCAGCAUUGAGUUGGGCACUCUGGAGGGACUGCCGGUGUCAAGCCGGAGGAAGGUGGGGAUGACGUCAAGUCCUCAUGGCCUUUAUGUCUGGGGCUACACACGUGCUACAAUGGCCGGUACAAAGGGCAGCGAAGGCGCGAGCCGGAGCCAAUCCCAGAAAACCGGUCCCAGUUCGGAUCGAAGUCUGCAACUCGACUUCGUGAAGUCGGAAUCGCUAGUAAUCGCGGAUCAGAACGCCGCGGUGAAUACGUUCCC